This 2547-nucleotide unclassified non-coding RNA is filed under the name Hevea brasiliensis (rubber tree). Lineage: Eukaryota; Viridiplantae; Streptophyta; Magnoliopsida; Malpighiales; Euphorbiaceae. The record is from RNAcentral.
GGAGAGUGAAAAAUGUUGAUAUAUAUAUAUAUGAAAAGAGAAACCGUAAGAGGUAAUUUACCUUUCCAUCCUCAUAAAACGCGGACAAAACACAAGCACAUAGUGUAAAUGAGUAAAACUAAUCUUGAGGUACUUGAGAUUGACUUAAAAAUACUAGAAAUCUAAUCAAAUCAAAUUUGAGUACUAAGCGGUUCAAGCUUAAUUAAAUUUGCUAAGUCCAAUUUCAAACUUCGAAUUUUAGAAUCGAAUCAAGUUUGAGCUAUUCUACUUAGCUCAUUUACGCCAGUAGCCCUAGUUGUCCAUAUUUCAUGCCUCACCUACACAAUGAGAAGAGAUCAAAUUCAAGAUAAAGGCACCUUUAAUUCCAAGAGGAAAAUACCAAACAAAAAGGUUUUAUAACUUUCACAUUAACUCAGGAAAGGUAAAUGUGAUUACACGCACACUUGCGUGCAUAUACACGUAGGAGUUCAGUAGUCUUACCAGUAAGCAUCGGAACUUGUCCGUCUUCUCCAUCUGACCUGUAUCAGAAUUUCCAUUAGAAAAGCUUUCAGUUAAUAUUUUUGGAUCUUCGGAAAUUUUUCCCAUGCCACCAAAAGCUUAUCAAACAGCAAUAUCAAUUAUCAAGUAUAUAGUUGCUACCAAAACAUACCCAACUCUAAGACAACUUCACAUAAUGACAAAAGAAAAAGCAGAACUUCCAGAAAUUGUAGGUCAUAAAAUGAGGGAGAUCCUCCUAGUCUUCUUAGUAGAUGUUCUGGUAAUAACAUCACAAAUCUCUCUUCUUCGUUUGUUGUUGGUGUACGUGGUGGCAGUGGUGACGGCGUUCUUGCUCUUCUUGUUAUUGAUGUUGAUAUCCUUGUUUUCAUCACCAUUGUUAUUGUUCCCAUUCAUGCCCAGGGACUUACUUCCCAUAACUUUUAAAGCAUCUUUAACGAAAACCCUGAGCCUCCAAAGUGUCAAUUCACUCUGAGCAUCCAUGUCAAGUUCCACCUCUUCAGCUGUUGCUUGGAAGCUUGGAUUAUCAGCAGCAACUAUAUCCAGUGCCCUAGUCAGAUCUUCAGGAGAUAAUUGAUUGAGAGCUGUCACCAAUUUCUUUUUCUCUUCAACAGACAUUUUUCUGCAAUUCUGAACUACCAUUUUUCUGAGUUUGUCCAGUUGUGUAUCAACUUCACAAAGCUCGUUGCUUAAAUCCCUAGCCAUGUUAGCAUGUAAAACCUCCUGAGCUAGUUUAGUGCCGGCCUCCACCACUACUUUGUCCUUUUCUUGUCUUCUUUCCUCCUCAACAACUUUAGGCAAAAGUUGCAGCCAUUUUUCUUCAAACUUCUCCAACAAAGUUCUGGCCAUUACAUGAACAUCAUCUCUUUUAUCAUUGUAUUUCAUUGCAUUCUUAAAAACCAGCCUAACAUCAGCAUAUAUUUCCCGGACAUUCUUGUACCCAGUGCCAUCCUUAGCCUCCAUCUUAUUUUUUAUUGUACCGAAGUCCAUUGGCUUUUCAAUAACCUCAUAAUAGUCGUGCAAACCAAGACCCACAACAUCUACUGGCUGCAUGAAAGGCCAUGCCCACUUAUGCUGCGUGAUCUGAAACAAGUAUCCCCCUCAACCAAGAAGUCAGCUUCCUCAUAAGGCAACCUACGCUCACUUAGAGAGGAAGCGAGGUCCACAAUCUUAUAAGCUCAGGAACCCAAAUUGUAAUUCUGGUCCAGCCCUCCAACAAGACUACUGAUGAAAUAUUCCUGCAAACUGAUGCAUAAGUUGCGUUCUCUUUCCACCAGCAACUUCCCUCUGAGGUACAUGUUGCUCUUGCUCCUCAAUGUUGGCUAAAUAUUUUUCCCUGAUUUUAUCGUUCAUAAUUGAGCUACAUUUAUCAGUGUUGUGUUGUUUGUUAUCUGCAGUCAUGGAGAAUUGUUCAACUACAUUUACCCCUUGCUCAAGCUCAUUAACUUUUGAGAACAAUUCAUCAAUGCAACGGCUAAAACCUUCCAAUUCUGAGACAUUUGCUUCAGUGUUGCUAGGUCCCACAUUUCCCAUGUCCAGAUUGAAUCUGAUUAUGGGUUCCAUCUGAUAGUGGAAACAGGGAUGUGAAAUCUUAGAGGACAACGGAGGAGUUAUGAUUAUAAGUAUAAACAAACCAACCAUUUGAGAUUGCACAGAAUAUUUUGCAGAAAAAGAAUAUCAUACUCAAUUCUAGAACCCUUUUAGCCUAAAAAUUAAUAUUAAUGCUUACCAAGUAAUAUCACCAUUAAUAACAAAAUGAUGCAAAGAAACGGCAAAAAAGAGAUAAUCUAUAUCUCAAUAGAGUAACAAAGAAACAGAAAAAGAGAGGGAACAAAUCAAGAAGAAGAAAAGGGCACCAAUUGACUUCGCUGUUAAGCAAGAUUUCAUCAAAUUGAAAAAUCUAAGUAUCUGAGGAGCAGACGCUUUGCCAGCCAGCGAAGAAGCGUAGAACGGUAGGAAGUAGCCAAGACGGAGAGAGCCCCUAAAACUGAAACACGGUCGUCAACGGUGGCGGCGAGCGGUCGUUGACAGAUUUGGGCCUUUUAUAGGUUU